This 16123-nucleotide unclassified non-coding RNA is filed under the name Leishmania donovani. Its description in RNAcentral is "gene:LdHU3.20.0300(CDS-product:Midasin_putative)". The record is from RNAcentral. Lineage: Eukaryota; Euglenozoa; Kinetoplastea; Trypanosomatida; Trypanosomatidae.
UCACAGAGGUUUCGCGGUGGAAAAGGUAAUGAUCCUCACGCCAACAGUGACGCGGAAUCUGGAGAGCAUCCAGCUGGCGCUGGAGACCAGCAAUGCAAUCCUCAUUCAAGGGGAGAUCGGAUGUGGAAAGAGCGCAUCUGUGCUUCAUUUAGCGGAGAAGUACGCGGCAAAGGAAACAAUGAUCCAAGUAAACGUAGACGACACGUUCGACAGCAAGGAUCUUCUCGGCAAGUUUAGCGCGACUCAAACCCCUGGAACCUUCCAGUGGGUUCCGGGGCCGCUGACGGUCGCUGUGCAGAAGGGCUAUUGGGUUCUCAUGGAGGAUAUCGACCUCGCUUCGUUCGAUGUCUUUGCCGUGCUCCUUUCCCUCCUUGAGAGCUCGACCCUCUUUAUUCCGGACAAGAGCAAGUUUCUGCGCGCGCACAGCGGGUUCAGGCUGAUUGCAACUCAGCAGCUGUACUCCUCCGGUGCAGCCGUACUCACACGCAAGUCAAACUCCGUACCGUAUGCCGAGCUUUGGGGCACCGUGAUCAUGGAAAACCUCCCAGCGGAAGAAAUGUGCGCCAUUGUCAACCAUACAUACAGCAACGUUCCGUUGUCCAUCAUUCAAAGCCUCGCGGCAUUGGCUUCCCCAACGUCUGGCACAAGACUCGUGGGGCUGCAGAAUCUGCUAAGGUGGAGUAAACGAGUAAGUAAGCGUCUGCCAAGCACGCUUUGUAUUGAUAAUGCUAAUAGCAAAAACACACUGGCGUUUAUCUCGUCCCGCACGCGCGAGACAAUGGUGAAGGAGGCGUUCGACUGCCUUGUAGCAAAGUACCCUCCAGGAAAUGAGCGUGCUGGAGUUCUGAAGCUGAUUUCGGAAGCUUGCGGGGUACCGAUCAAUGUUGCUGAGCCUCUUGUCCUGGAGUGCAGACCACAGGAGUCACUGACCACAGACAUGUACUCAGUGGGCAGGGUGUGCAUUCCGCUCAUCUCCACUGUCUCCGGGCUCUUGCGCGACAGCCGCAUUGCAUUCGCGCCAACCACGCACGCCAUGUCCCUCUUGGAGAGGCUUGCGGCGGCCGUAGAAUCGCACGAGCACGUGCUUCUGACUGGCGAAACAGGCGUAGGAAAGACGUUUAUUGUGCAGUAUCUGGCGGAUCAGCUGGGCCAGUCGCUAAUCGUGCACAAUCUCAAUCAGCAGACGGACUCGUCGGAUUUCAUGGGCGGAUGGAAGCCGUUGGAUGUCGGUGUGACAGUGCGGGACCUGUACAACGGAUUUACGGAGCUCUUUGCGGCAUGCUUCAAUGUUGAGAAAAACGCACAGUUUCUCAAUAUUCUUCAGCAGUCCGUCAAUGGCCGGAAAUGGGGCCGUGCGCUGAGCCAGAUCAUCAAGGGUUGCGGCUCUUUUAGGGCAAAGAGCGCAAAGGUGAAGUACGAUGCAGCGAUGCAGCAGCAGUGGGAGGAUCUGGAACAGAAGGCCAACGAGCUGCUGAACACUGUAGAAAACACGAGAACCAACUUCGCGUUUUGCUUCGAGGAAGGUUCCCUUGUCAAGGCGUGGCGCGAGGGCCACUGGAUUCUGCUGGAUGAGCUCAAUCUGGCCAGUACCGAGGUGCUGGAGCGCGUCUCCUCUGUGCUUGGCGAUGUCGACCGCCUUUUUCUCACGGACAAGGACUCUUCAGAGCCGAUCAUGCGCCACAAGAACUUCCACGUUUUCGCGAACAUGAAUCCUCCGACUGACGUCGGCAAAAAAGACUUGCCGCCGUCUCUGCGUUCGCGGUUUGUCGAGUACUACGUGAGCGAACCAUUUAACCGCAACGACAUUAGCAUUGUGGUGAGGGCGUACAUAGGCUUCCUCACGGCAGACUCAAAGGUAGACGAAAUUACUGACUUUUUCCUCGACUGUGUGAACAAUGCGAAAACGAAGCUCUGCGCCUUGGACGGCGAGUCGAAAGCGCCGUCGUUUAGCCUGCGCACACUCACACGAGCCCUCUCUUACGUGCGCCGCGCCACCCCACUUUACGGCUUUGCGAUCGCCUUGUUUGACGGCCUACUUCUUGGGUUUGCGACUCCUCUGCAGCGUCAGUUCCACGUGGUCGUGGAGCAGCUCAUUGUCAAGAAUAUCUUUCGUGGCAAGCGUCCCAACUCCCCCACCUUGCCGGCCGCCCCGAAGAACGGGUCGUUUAUCGCGUACGAGCACAUGUGGAUUCCUGCUGGUACCGAGGUUCCGUACUGCGACGAGGCGUUCAUCCUCACCAACAGCGUCAAAGGCCACCUGACGAAUCUCAGCCGCGCAGUGUUUGCAAAUCGUCCGGUGCUGCUCGAGGGCCCUACGUCCUCUGGCAAGAGUUCCAUGGUGAAAUAUCUGGCCGAGAUCACCGGCAAUAAGUUUGUGCGUAUCAACAACCACGACAGCACCGAGGUUCAGGAGUACCUGGGUCACUACGUCACAGAUGAGCUCGGAAAGCUGCGCUACGUGGACGGAAUUCUCGUGAAGGCUGUUCGCCACGGCUACUGGGUGGUGUUGGAUGAGCUGAAUCUUGCACCGACUGACGUGCUCGAAGCCCUUAACCGUCUUCUGGAUGACAACUGCGAGCUGUUUGUUGCUGACACUCAAGAAACCAUAAAGCCGCAUCCUCAGCUUCGCAUCUUUGCGACUCAGAAUCCUGCCGGCAUUUACAGUGGCCGAAAGAUGCUCUCGCGCGCCUUUCGAAACCGCUUUCUUGAGAUUACAGUGGACGAGAUCCCAACAACGGAGAUCAGCACUAUUCUGUGCCGCCGCUACUCACUUCCUCAGAGUUUUGCUGAUAAAAUGGUGGAGGUGAUGACAGCGCUGCAAAUUCACCGCCAGAGCUCGCAGAUCUUUGCCGGCCGUCAUGGGUUCAUCACGCCUCGCGAUUUGUUUCGGUGGGCGGAGCGUCGACCGGAAACGUAUCAGCAGCUGGCGGAGCACGGCUUUCUGCUUCUGGGAGAGCGGUGCCGCAAGCCCAGCGAGCGCCAGGUUGUGCGAGAUGUCAUCGAGUCGGUGACCAAGACGGAGCUGGACGACAAGACCAUUUAUCACCCAUCGCACUGGUCGUUUGUACAGCGCUACUUUAGUCAGGUUGAGAGUGGCGUCAUUGACGAGUUCAAAAUUGUCUGGACGGAGUCCAUGCAGCGCCUAUUCACCAUUGUAGGAAUUUGCCUGGAGCACAAAGAGCCCGUCCUGCUCGUUGGCGAAACCGGGAGCAGCAAGACCACGGUGUGCCAGCUGUGGGCGGCACUGCUCGGCAUUCCGCUCCACAUCCUCAACUGCCACCAGCACACAGAGGCAUCGGACUUUCUCGGCAGUCUGCGACCCUCGCCACCGGACCGGCGCGAUCAGGCGUUGUUUGAGUGGCGCAACGGCCCACUGGUGCAGAGCAUGCUCAACGGUGACAUGUUUGUGCUGGAUGAGAUUUCACUCACUGAGGACAGCGUUUUGGAGCGACUGAACAGCGUGCUGGAGCCCUCGCGCAGCGUUACGCUGGCGGAGAAGAGCAGCGCCGACUGCAUCGUGGCGCACGAACGGUUUCUUGUCAUGGCAACCAUGAAUCCUGGUGGUGAUUUUGGCAAGAAGGAGUUAUCGCCCGCCCUCCGCAACCGCUUCACGGAGAUCUACGUCCGCCCCACUACAGACGUAACGGAGGUGAGCAUGAUUCUGUCGAACCGCCUAGAGGCGGAGCUGGCGGUGUGGGCCCCUCACAUGGCUGCGGUGCUCUACCACGUCUCGCAGUCGACCACCACAUCUAGCUCACCUCAGCACAUUAGUAUCCGUGACAUCAUCAGCUGGGUGUCUUUCAUGAACGCUGCCCAUGGCCGGUGCCCGCCGGAGGUCGCCUUUCUGCAGGGACUCGACGCUGUCAUUCUCGAUGGCAUCGGUGUUGGCACUGGGCAGUCGGAGGCGUCGUGUGCGGUGUUGAAGAGCAGCUGCACGUCGCAGGCGGUGCAGGAGGUGAUGCAGUCCGGGCAUGCGCCGAUCGACCACAAUGCCCUGCUUGCGAAGCCCUUCUGGGAGGUGUGCGAGGGCAUGGCGGAGCCGCAGCUGCCGCCAUCGAUGCAGGGCCGCUUCUUCUUCGGCGCCCCGGCAACGCGGCGCAAUUUGUCCAAGCUGAUGCGGGCGAGCCUCGUGAAGAAGGCAGUUCUCCUGGAAGGUAGCCCGGGCGUGGGUAAAACCAGCAUCGUGGAAGCUCUCGGAUGCGCGCUGGAUCGAUCGGUGGUGCGCAUCAAUUUGAGCGAGCAGACGGACAUCAUGGACCUCUUUGGUACGUACCUGCCGAGUCCCGGUGAUGCCACUGAGCAGGAGGCCGCGGCAGAGGGAGAGGAGUCUGCCGCGACGGUGGGGGAUGAACUGGAGCGACAGCAGCCGCGCGGUGGGCGAGGUCCUGUGAAGAGCCCGCAGUUUGCAUGGUCGGAUGGCGUUCUUUUGCGAGCCCUGAAGCAGGGCUCGUGGGUAAUUCUAGACGAGCUGAACCUGGCGAGUCAGUCAGUGCUGGAGGGCCUGAACGCCUUGCUCGACCACCGCUCCUCCGUUUUUAUCCCUGAGCUGAACGAAGAGUUUCACGCUCACGCCGACUUCCGCGUGUUUGCGUGCCAGAACCCGCUGCUGGAGGGUGGCGGUCGCAAAGGCCUGCCUUGCAGCUUCAUCAAUCGAUUCAUCAAGGUACACGUCGAGGCGUUCGAGGUGAGCGACCUGAUUGUGAUUGCCCAGGCAGUGUGCCCGGACAUCGAAGAGGCGACGCUGCGGCGCAUGGUGAACUUCGUGGACCGACUGCAGUACGACAUAAUGGUGCGCCGAGCGUACGGCUUGCGGGGAAGCCCGUGGGAGUUCAACCUACGCGAUGUGUUGCGCUGGGCGAAGCUUUUGCAGUCGUACGAGGCGCGUGAGCGACCGACGUCGUUUGCCGACAUGCUUUUUCUCCAGCGCAUGCGCACCGAUGAGGAUGCGGCGCGGUGCCGCCUAGCGCUCGAGUCGUGCUUCUCCAAGGAAGAAGUCGAGAGAGACGUGGAACACGGGUGCGACUCCGACUUCCUCAUCCACAACAACACCGUUUACUUCGCCAAGCAACGACUCAUGCAGCGCGAGACAGCCACCAUCAGCGCCUCGGAAGCACAGCAACUUAGCUCCUUGCUGCUCCUUCCUUCACAGGCGCACCUUGUCAAGUCGCUGCUGGUGUGCGUUGAGCAGAAUCAGUUUGCCUUGCUGGUUGGUCCCUCCGGCGCCGGUAAGACCUUCGCACUGCGCACCGCCGCCGCCCUUGCCGGGGCAAGGCUAGUGACCUUUUCCAUGACCGCGAGCUGCGACACAGUGGACUUGCUGGGCGGAUUCGAUCAGGUGGAGGGCAAGCAAGGCGAGUUCGAGUGGCGUGACUCUCUCGUGCUGGAGGCGAUGCUGCAGGGGCACUGGCUCGUUUUGGACAACGUGAACUACUGCAAUGCGAGCGUGCUGGACCGACUGAACCCACUCGUGGAGCCAAAUGGCGUUCUCUUCGUCAAUGAACAGGGUGUCGUUAACGACGAGGUGCGCAUGAUUCGGCCGCACCCUCGCUUCCGCCUCUUCGCUACGCUGAACCCGCGCUACGGCGAGAUCUCACGUGCCAUGCGCAACCGCGCCGUUGAGCUGUACGUGAAACCGGUAGCAAUCCCAUCUGCAGAGAGCUUCGCCCUCGGCGCCCACGCAUCCGUCGUGGCACAGGAACGGCACCAAUCGUCGCAAGAUGCCAAGAGCGCGGACGAAGCGGCCAACUCCGUCGCGUCUCUGAGCGCACCUCCGGUACGCUUGCUCUCGCGUCUGCUGCGGUACCACCAGACGUUUGUUUCUGUUGGCUUUCAUGCUGACUCCCAACACCCCGGGACUGCGCAGCUCAGCGAUGCGCUCUCUGCCGGUGCGCCAAGUGUAUUCACGUUACUGCGGACAAGCUGCCUGCUGCGACCCAGCAGCCUAGUCGGCGACUUGGAGAGGCUGAUUCUCCACCGAUACAUCCACAACCGCAGUGGGCACUGGGCCAGCUUCAAGUCGGAGCUACUUGAGCUGCUACGCUGCAUAAUGGACGGUGACACCGAAGAGAACGAUACUGCCGCUUUUGCUGACGAGGCGAUGGAGGUACUGCGCGCACUGCGGCUAGGUGGCCGCGGUGACGAGAUGCUUGACAGGGCUGCCGCCGCCGAGGAUGAGGAAGCCGCCACCGCUAGCGACCCGGUGGCAAGGGCUCUUGUGUGCUGCCGUGUUGGCCGUGCUGCUCUUGCGUUGCAACGGCUUCUUUCGGAGUCGACCAGCGCCACCGAGCACGAGAUGAAGGACGCCGCGGAAGCGGCGAAGCAGAAGGAGAAGCGCACGCUCACCAAUCGUCACCGGCUGGAGGACUUGGUGCUGUGCUUCGUCCUGGAGCAGUGCAGCGACAGCGUCCCACUCGACGCCGUCACGGAGACGCGUCGGCUGUGGAUAAGUCACCGUCUCCCAGCUGAAUUCGCGCAGCGCGCUCUCUCGCUUGUGAGGACGAGCUUUUGCUCCUCAGAGAUGCUCGCACGGCUUUACACACGUGCUGUCCUUCUACUUGGCCCUCACGCCGAUGCACUCACGGCGCUGUGGGGCUCGCAGAUGCAGGUGGUCAGCACCACCCUCGUGAACAACGCCCUGGUUCAUCUGUGCGGUGUGCUGCAGGCGGCAUUCGCGAGCCACAAUGCAACUCCUGUGCCACCCGCAACGUUUCAGCAGCUUCUUCGCCUUGCCGCGCCGUUCGCGCGACUCGUGGUUCAACUCGCCAACGAGGAGUACGGUGUGCACACCGACAACUACAUCCCCCUCGUCACCUACACAGCGCUGAUGUGCAAGGCCGCCUCGAAGAUGAAACCACCAAUACCCCACGCCAUGGCGCUGGUUCAUGCCGCCACAAGCUUUCUGGACUCGCUUCAGCAGCAUCUCGGCCUCCCCUUCCCGCUGCUGGGCGGCAAGGCCCCGCUGCACCGCUAUGUGCCGACUCCUCACAUUACCACGGCAGAGGAGCGACGCCUACUGCAGGCAUGGAACACGACCGCGAACGAGGCAUCCGCUGCCAGGCCAACAGCCCAGUCAAACUCGGCGGUAGGCCCACAAGCGCUACUUCAUCGCCUAUGGGAGUCUGCAGCGUUCCGCGAGGGCUUUGCAUGCCUUCAGCAGCUCUUGUACAUUCGCGCCACGGCAGCCACGUACUCCAGCGUGACAUCGGCGGAUCCUGCGCACACAGUGCACCCCCUUCUCCCUGCCCUGCAGGCUCGGAUGACCGCAUUCGUUGACACCUACACAGCUCGUUUGCCGCUCUUCACUGAACUCGAACUGGCCCUCUGGCGCAGCGUGCACCAGCUGUCCCUCGAUAAACCAGCGGACACGACGGAGGCCCUGGCUCAGCUGGCGCCGUUGUUGCUGAGCCGCUUUGCCAGUCGCCACGGUGUCGCCGGCACGCGUCACCUCUUCGGCGGCGCGUGGGCGGUGGCUGCGGCGGAUUGUAUGCGCUAUGGUGCGCAGGUGCGUGUUAUGGACAUCGGCCUCGCCGACAAUCCACGCCUGCAAGCCCUGGCUGGCCUCUCCACAUUUCUGCAGACCUGUCCUUUGGCGGCUGCGUCGCCACUGGAGGAGUGGGCGACCAACUCUCAGCGAGAGUUGGUGGGAGUGCUGUGCACCUGCUUCCCAGACCUUGCUUCUUGCGUGCCGACGCCGCUGCCGCCAUCCCGCACCUCAGCCACGGCCCUCACCCGACUCUCCGUCUUUGGAAAGGUGGAAACGGUCGUCGCCUCCGCGGCGCCGAUGCCGUCUUUGGUGCUCGAGAGGCAGAGGGUGCUGAUGGCUGCUCUGCUGCGCCGACUUCGUAGCAACGGAUGUGACAGCGCGGACACGCUUUCUGCCGUGACGCUUCUCUGGGUCUUCAAGUGCCGUCUGCUGCUGCCGCAGUCCCCAGUGGAUCCAAUGUAUCGGCGGGAGUGCAAGCGAGUGGUGGCCACUGAGGAGCUAGAGCUUCUCGGCCGACUCGAUGGCGCGUUUGCCUGGGCCGAGCAGCUCGCAAUCCGGCACCGCAGCCCCCAGCGCGAGAUCCUGCUGACGCUGCGUGUGCAGGAGAAAGAGCUUCUGCGGCAGGCACAGCGCAAGUAUGUGACUCGCCCAGACGCCACUGGCAUGAAGUACGCUACCCUCAUCCGCCAGCUGUACCAGGUGUGUACGACGCUCCUGUCCGACGCGCGUGUGCUCGGUUUGUUCGAGAUGCCGCCGGCGUCUGCUGGUGGUUUGAAUGCGGCUGCCGCCGCAGACAUCAUAGCCAGCCGAGAGGCGUGGAGUGACCUGCUGUACGAGCAGGUGAUGCAGCUGCUGGCCGAUUACGGCGGCUACGAGGACGUGACGGUGAACUUUGCUGAGGCAGCGCUGCUCGCCUCCAUGGCAGCGCGGGCUAGCUGCACCACGGAUGUCCGUCUGCUCGCCGCCGCCGCCUCCGCCGACUCGUCUGCACUAUCGCGCACACUCUUUAGCCGUGCCGAAACGCUGCGCCUGCUGCAAUUUCCAUCCCCCCUGGUGCACGUGUUGCCGAUGCCCCCACUGCAGCACACCGCGUCUCUGCUGCGCCACCGCGUCGUCUACCUGGACUCGUGCCUCUCCCUGCUCUCCGGCACCGCGCCGCAGGGGACGAGCCGCGACUUUGUCGAGGACGUCUUCGCCCAGUACCGUUCCCUGUUCCGCCAGAUCGAGGAGUGGGAGGUGCAGGAGCGCCAGGCCGACCAGCUCGCGGUGAUGUACAAGGAAAAGGCCACCGUGAUCGAGGGCGACGAUGAGAAGCUGAUACGCAAGUUGAAGGAGCUGUACCCGAGCUACGAGGCGGAGUUCAGCAUCGACGCUCUCGAGGACGACGCGGCGGAAUCUUCGGAUCGAAAGAAGACGGAGGAGCAGCUGGAGGGGCGUCGCGCCAAGUUUGCCCGCAUCCUUUUCAAGGAGCGGGACGGCUUCUACCUGCGCCACCUCGUCGAGGUGCACCGAACCUUCUACUGGCGCCUCAUCUCUUGCCGCAUGAAGGAGGCAGCGACGGCACCCAGUGCAUGCAGCGCAAAGUCGCCGCAGUCUACCGCGCUGCUUGCCGCUUUUCAGAACCGCUUCGAUGCCCUCGCCGCGGAACUGCACACCUUUCCGGCGUCGAGCGGCAGCACAUCUGGGGUGGCGGGGAUGGAGGAACAGCUUCUCCUGAAUGGCUUCGCGGCCCGCGUCUCACUGCUGCGCGAGGAGAUGCGUGGCACAGCUGUCUCCCUGGAGGAGCGGAAGGAGGCUGCCUUCAACAUUUUCCUCGACACGGACGUGUACGAACUGAGUCGCUUCAGCACCCCUUUGCAGACUUUGCUGGAUGCCGUGCAGCGACUUGCCGAGCAGUAUCCCGACACGCCGUCGUUGCAGCGGUGCCUGCGCAUUGGCCACAAGAUUGCCGCACUUCCGGCGAUGAGUACCCCGCUGAUGAAGGUGAUGGCGGGUUGCGAGGUGCUGCUGCGGGAGUGCUACGAGUGGGAACGCAACGCAUCGCACGAGGUCUCGUUGAUGCGCCACAUGACGGCGCUUUCCUCCUUCGUGCUGCGCUGGCGCCGUCUGGAGCUGCACUGCUGGGCACACGUAUUUCAGGCGAAGCGCGCCGAACUCGAGCUCCAGGCAGCGCAGCAGUGGUUCACGCUCUAUGACCUUCUGCUCGGUGAAGCGGUGCCAUGCGAGCCGGACGGCGAAGGCCACCAUACCGUAGCUGUGUGGGAUGCCGAAACGCCGCUGCUGCGACACUGCCGCACCGCCUUCCAGCGUGCCUCGAAGUUCAUGUGGGAUGCGAUCUUUGGAGACUUCAGUGUGCGGCUCCGCAUCCUGCAAGGGUUUGGGUUUCAGCUCCUCGCGGCAGAGAGUGCGCAGGCGCCGCUGGCUAACACGGUGCUGCACGUGUGCGACUUCUUUGCCCAGUUCGAACCGCUCGUCCAGCAACAACGCGACAAGGCCGUGCAGCCGAUCGAGGAGGACAUUGCGGAGUUCGCCAAGAUUAUGCGCUGGGAGGACGCCAACUACUACGCCGUGCGCGCCACCGCGGAGAAGUCGCACAUGAAGAUGGCGCGCGUGCUCGGUACCCUGGAAGAGGUGCUGCGAACCCCGGUCCUCGCGGUCAUCACAGCCGAGGAGCAGCGGUGCGAGGACGAUGCUUCGCUCGGCUUCGCGCUGCCGGUGAAGGUGGACUCCAAGUCCAAGAAGGCAAAGCAGGCAAGAAAGCCUGCGGAGGCUGCGGGCAAGGGUGCGAAGCAGGGCAUCAAACGACAACGCAACGGCAAGGCCGUUUCUGCCGCUGCAGAUAACCCAUCACUGGAGGCUGUUGCCACGGCGGAGGAUCCAGCGCUCCAGUUGCUGAGCCGCAACGUAUACCUCGACCAGGUUCACACUUUCUUGCGAGACGCCGCUCACGAGGUGAUCGAGAACGUGACAGCUCUCCAGAAGCCUAAGACGCCGAAUCAGAUGAAGGUGCGAGCCCUCAAGACGCUCUUCGGCCGACUUUCCGAGGCCGGCGUACCGCACACGCACGAGAACCAAGUCGGCGACUGGGGGGUUCUCUUCUUCACCACUGAGGCGCUGCUGGGGUGUUGUGAGACGCACCGCGACCAGACAGCCGCAGUCGCCCGUGCCGGCGCUGCUGCGGCGGAGCAGUAUCGAUUUGCUCGCUGGCUGCAGCGACUGCGCGAAGUGGAGAGAAAGCCGCACCACGACCUUUCCGCUGCACAGGCGAAGCGCGGAACUGGGAUAGCCGAGAGCCUCUUUUCGAACGCCGUGCACGUGGCAACAGUACUGUGCGAGCUGUUUCACCUGGAUGAGCAGCUACGCGUGCUGGAGGUCACUGUGCAGCACAGUGUACUGGCGUCUGACGGCGACACCGAUGGCGGUGUCGUGAGUCACGCUGUACCGCGCGUCUUCCUCGAUGACGCUGUCGAGGUUGCUUGCCUUGUUCAGUCCGUGUGCAGUGGCCUAGGAUGGAUGACGCAGCAGCCGCACAUGGUCGCCAAAACUACAGCAGAGGCUCACGGGCUCGUGCACGAGCUGGCGGGCGUUUCAAAUGAGCUGUGGUCUCUUUGCACCUCGUAUGAGCCGCUGCGCCUCUCCGCCGCGUCUACGGUGCCGCCUGGCAUUUCCAAGUACUACUUCGAUGCACUGCACCGCGUACUGGGUGUGGUGUGCCGCAUACAGGCGUGCGAUGUCGCGAACAUCGCUGCUGCGGCGAAGCCUCUCGUCGACGCCGUUACUGAUAUGCUCGCGCGCCACGAGCAGCCAUCGGCGCAGAUGCGCGAGCGUCUCGCCACGGAGGCAAAGCGGCGUCGCACCGAGCAGUUGCCGAAGCCGUGGGCUCAGCGACUGCGCCAUGCCGUCGAGGAAGUGAGCGAUGCCCUCGUCCCCUGUGGGGAGGGUGCGAGUGUGGUGCUCGAAGACGAUGUGCGGAUGCCAUCGACGACGGCCACGACAGAUGCGGAGGCGAAGGUGAGCGGGCACUGCGACUCCGAGUCCGAUACGGAUGCGCCACAACUUGAGUCAGCCGUCUACGCCCGCUACACCAUGCAUGGCGCGGCGGUCCACGAGGCGCUGCAGCGACUCGUGCCGAUCCUGGAGGAUCUCCUCGCCUCGCCUGUCAGCUCUGAGGGUGCUACAGCCGCGACCGUUGUAACGAGUUCGGCGCUGCCAAGCGUAUGCACCCUUGCAGCGCGCGAGAGAGAAGAGCUGCUUCCACGGCUGUCUGUGUGUCGCCGUGAGGUGCAGCGUGUACGCGAUGCGUGGUGCACCGUGCUGGAAGCGCAGUGCUUUUUCGGCGUCGUCGUCGCACGCCUCUUUACUGUGCUCCUCAAGAAGGGCUUCUGCAAGACUGAGGACGAGGAACCUGACGACGGCGAGGGCGACGGCGAGGGUGGCCAGCAGCAAAACGGCACCGGGAUGGAUGACGGCCAAGGCGAGAAGGAUGUCACGGACCAGAUCGACAACGAGGACCAGCUCAUGAAUAUGAAAGAUAAGGAGGAGCAGCAGGCGGAUGAGCAGCGGCAAGGCGAGAAGGACGAGGGCGAGGAGGACACAGCGGCGGACGUGGAGACGGACUUCAACGGCCAAAAGGAGCACCGCAGCGAGAGCGAUGGCGAAGGUGACGAGGAGGGCGAGGAGUCGGACAAGGAAAUGGGCGACGUCGACGACGGCACGGAGCAGGAACGCAAGAAGGCGAAGAAGGACGCUGGCGAUGCCGAUGACAUGAACGAGGAUGCUGGCGACGCAGCCGAGGAGGUGCCCGAAGACGACCUUGCCGAAGGCGAUGAGCACCGCGAGGACAACGAGGAAACCGGCGGCUUUGAAGACAAGGCGGACGAGAUUCGAGACGCCAAUGAGGAUCGCUCCUGCGAGCACGACGUGGUCGGCGAUGACGACAAGAGUGAGAUGGACGAGGACGGUAGCAGCGACGGCGACUCCGUCGAGCACAGCGAUACUGAUGGUGAGGAGCGCGACGAGAGCGCGCGGGAUGAUAAGCUGCCCAGCGACACGGACGAGGAACCGGAAGAGAGCGACGUUGCCUCUGAGGAGCGCGUCGACAGUGACGCCGCGACCGACGCGGAGCGCAGCGAGUUGGGCGAGGAAGAGGUGGGGCAGCGGGACAACAGCGAGAACGCGGGUGAUGUAUCGGACAUCGAGGACGCCAGCGACGGCCCCGACGAGAACGUGUACGAGGGCGGCCAGCAGGAUGACCGAGAAGGCGACGAGGCUACGGAGAACCAGGACAAGGACAAGAAAGACACGUCCGCCAAAGUCCGCAAGGAGCAGGCCGCCAACGAGGAGGAGCAGCCAGGCACAGAGCAGGAGCAGGACGACGCGGGGCAGAACUGGAAGCAGCAGCAGGAGCAGAACGAGCAGGCGCAGCGCCGCGACAACGCGGAGCAGACCCGCUCUCAGCACAACCCGUAUCGUGCCGUCAAGGAGGCCCUGCAGCGGCAUCAGCGUCAGAUGCAGCAGCUCAACCUUAACCAGCACGUGAAGGUCACGGAUGAAAAGGAUGAGCCCAAAGCGGAGAAGCCACCGAAGCCGGACCAGGCGGGCGAGCAGGAGGAUGUUGAGGAGUUCGACUUUGAAGAGGACGGAGACCGUGAGGGCCUAGCUGCUGCUGAGCACACCGAGGCAAAGCCAACUGAAACAGACGCGUAUGAGGGCGAGGAGAGCCACAAUGACGCGAGCGGCGACGAGGAUGGCAUAGGGGAGGACGAGGACGACUCCGCUGACGCCCCGCAAGAGACGCGUCGCAAGUGUCGCCAGAACAGGGACGAGCUCACCGAACUGGAGGAGAAGGAGGCGGCGGCAACAUCCCAGAAGAUGAAGUCCAAGAAGAAGGUGCGGACGACUGCCGACGAUGAGGACGCGAGUGCGUCGGAGGACCAGGAGGACGAUGACACCACCAAGAAAGACGACCAAGAUGCCGCGGCGGAAGCGAACGUGAAGCUUGAGCGUGGUCGGCAGCUGUGGCUGGAGCAGGAGACUGCAGUGCAUGGCCUCUCUCAGCAGUUGUGCGAGCAGCUCCGCCUCAUCCUCGCCCCGACGCUCGCUGAUAAGCUCCAGGGCGACUACAAGACCGGCAAGCGGCUCAACAUGAAGCGCAUCAUUCCGUACAUAGCCUCUCAGUUCAAGAAGGACCGCAUCUGGCUGCGUCGCACAAAGCCGAGCAAGCGCACAUACCAAAUACUGGUGGCCCUCGAUGACUCGCUGAGUAUGCAGUGCAACAAUGCUGGCGUGCUAUCCUGCCGUGCAGUGGCCCUCAUUGCCAAGGCUCUGCAACAGCUGGAGGUGGGCGAGUUCGGCGUCGCGUGCUUCGGCAAGGAGACUCACGUGGUGCACCCCCUGGAGGAGCCGUUUCUCGCCGACAGCGGUCCGCGCCUCUUCAGCGAGAUUACGUUUGAGCAGAAGUCCACAAACAUGAAGCUGCUCUUAGAGACUACGCUCGGCUACCUCGACGACGCUCGCGACCGCAUGCGUGGCCAGACCCGCUCUACGACACAGCAGCUGCAGCAGAUCAUGUUUAUCAUCGGUGAUGGCCAGAUCACGGAAAACCGCGACGACUUGCGCCAGCUGAUGGUGCGGGCCGAGGAGAACCACCAGAUGGUCGUGUUCGUGCUGCUGGAUAUCAGGGCAGCUGAGGGGGACACCGCUACGCCCAGUGCUGGGCCAUCUGCCGCUCCGGCCGCAGCGGCGCCGCUCAGGGCAAAGACGUUGCAGGGACUCUCUACUGCAGAGCGCCUGCGCCGCCUCAAGGCGGACCGCGAGGCGCGACUGCUGCGCGUUCAGUCGAACUCGAUCCUGGACAUGCAGGUGGUCGAGUUCCAAGCUGGCCGCGUGGUGCGCCGCCCUUACAUGGAGGACUUCCCUUUCCCUUACUACCUCAUCAUCCGCGACAUUCAGAAUUUACCGGAGAUCAUCGCGGACGCCAUGCGGCAGUGGUUUGAGCUACUCAAUGCCGGCGCGUAAAGAAAGCGGGUCGAUUACGGAUCGCGCAUAUGCAUGCGCUGCUUACCCUUCUUUUUGUUUGUUUUCUGUACUUCCCACCUCUGUCUUCGUGUUUUCCGCGAUGCGCUCUCAUCCACCAGCUCCCGCCCGCCCCGAUCCCUCACCUCUGGACGGCUAUGCUGGAUGUAGAACGUUGACCAUGGUGCAAGUUGUGUUUCGUGCCCAAUGCCGGGUAUGCGGGCGUGCGUGUCGGUGAGUCAUCGGAUGAAUUCGUCUGUUUCCUUCAACGCCUUUCUCCAUUGUGUUUCGCUUGCCGUUCAUUCUCUCUUUUCUUUUUCUUUCGCUAUCAGCUGACGAGAUGCGGAGUGGGGCAGCUGCGUGCGUGCUUGUGUGUGCCGGUGGGUGCUCGAUGGACACAUCGAGUGCCACUGGCCCCGGGUGUGGCUGUGAAGGUGUCUUGGCGUUGUGGUUUAUUUCUGUUUCUUCUCUCAAGUGGGCCUCGAUGCCUCACUCUCGUGGUGCUUGAUCUUUGAUGAUGAUGACGCUUGAGUUAAGACACACACACAGAGACACAGACACAGACACACGGCGGAGGUGGGAUGAACGGCCUGUGCUGUUCACCUCCCCGCCUUUCCGCGUUUGCACACGUGUGUCUGUGCGUGGAUCCCUUCCCCGAUAUAAACAUAAGUAUAUAUAUAUAUAUAUAAGCCAGUGCAUGUGCAUGCAUGUGUGCCUGCGUUUGUGUGUGCUGUUGUUGUUUUUGUUGUCAUGCGAAUGUGUGCCACGGGCAUCUUUUACCGUUUCGCUUGUAAACCAAGCGGGCGUCAUUCAUCACUGCGGACGAUAACAACGACGCAUUCUUUUAAAACGAACGCUAAUGGGCGUCUCUCUUGCCUCUCUUCUUCCGACGUUGCCGUGCUCUCUCUGUGUGUCUCUUUACAGUUGACGUCGAAGUAACCCAAGUUUGCGCGCAUGUGUGCGUGUGUGCUCUCGUGUCGUCUGGACUUUGUGGGCACGCCCACAAGGGAUGCAAUAAAACGAAAAGGUGAGCACAGUAAGGCCGUCACGGCGACGGCAGGCGGCGUCGUGAGGCGGGACGGGCACACGGCGGCAAACGAGUUCCAGUGGUGCGCAUGAAAAAGAGACGCACGCGCCUUCGCUGAUGUGCGGAAGGACCGGUGAGGAUUACGGAGAGGUGACGCGUCUCUCUCUCGCUCUGUGUAUGGAUGCGCGCGGAUGGUGAGCGCCUCAAGUGCGGAUUCAGUGUCUAGUACGUGGCCUCCUUUUCCUCCUUCCACGGGCCAGUCACUGCUACCAGCACCACCAUCAUUGAUGCAACGGCUGCUGUCGCGGGCGGUCGCUUCUGCGGGUAUCUAGGCCCGAUCCUCCCCCAUGACAGUAUGGGUUCACAUCAGCGCAUUCACACAAUUCUGCUGUGCCCAACGUCUUGCCCAAAUUCGCUCUCUCUCUCUGCUGCCGCUGCACACACACACACACACACGCCUGACGCACUUGCAUGCUGUAUACGGAGCGUGAGUGCGUGUCUGUGCUUGCGUGUGUGCUUUUCCGGGACCAUAUCUCCUUUCGCAUCCCUCCCCCUCCUUGCGCGCUUUCUUUCCCCCACGUUCGAUGCUGAGCUGCAAG